GAUGAAGAACGCAGCGAAAUGCGAUAAGUAAUGUGAAUUGCAGAAUUCAGUGAAUCAUCGAAUCUUUGAACGCACAUUGCGCCACCUGGUAUUCCGGGGGGCAUGCCUGUUCGAGCGUCAUUUCACCACUCAAGCCUCGCUUGGUAUUGGGCAACGCGGUCCGCCGCGUGCCUCAAAUCGUCCGGCUGGGUCUUCUGUCCCCUAAGCGUUGUGGAAACUAUUCGCUAAAGGGUGUUCGGGAGGCUACGCCGUAAAACAACCCCAUUUCUAAGGUUGACCUCGGAUCAGGUAGGGAUACCCGCUGAACUUAAGCAUAUCAAUAAGCGGAGGA
Molecule: unclassified non-coding RNA, 331 nt
Filed under: soil metagenome
Description: partial contains 5.8S ribosomal RNA, internal transcribed spacer 2, and large subunit ribosomal RNA
Rfam family: 5.8S ribosomal RNA (bases 1-120)
Source: RNAcentral